UUAAAAUACGCAAAUAUGAUUUAUUCAAUAUCAAUCUUAACAGGUUACAAAAGAUGACAGGACCAUUGUUUAAUUACUAAACAGCUAAAUAUUGUAGAAUUAACGGACUGAUACAAAACAGUGCGAAUGUAGCAGUCUGCAUUCAAUGUUCACGUUCUUCAGCCGCAAUUUUCAAUCCACAAUCCAGUCUGCAUUUAGAUCCUGAAAUUGAGAAAAAGUUUGACAGUUGGUAGUUUGAAAAAAAAUUAGAGUUUAUGUGAUUGUGAUGUGAUGAAAAGUUGGGAAUUUGGAGGAAGAUUGAUGUGAACUAAACAGGGCCCCAAUCCACGUUUAGUUCACACACAACUUCCCCCAAUCUCCCAACUUUCCAUCGCAUCUCCAUCACAUCAUGGUAGGUUCAUGGUAGGUUGUUGUAUCCACAGAUGCAGCACUACAGCAAGAUCAGUUCACGCUCAAGUUUAACACAAAUAGAAAGACGGGCUGUUAAGAUAGACAAAAUCAGAGAACAUAAAUUAUAUCAAAUAUGGCAAAAUAAAUAAAUCUUUAGUAACCGUUUUUGAGAUGGGUGCGUAAAGGCCGUCAGUUAGGAGCGAAAGACUAUUUAUUCAAAGUAAUCAUAACCACUAGGGUUUGAUCAUCUGAACUAUGCAUUUUUGCUCAUCACUCGACCUUGCAACCAAUUUACAUCCACAUCGGCAUCAAACCUCUUAAAAAAUCAUAGUUUUUAAAACCAUAUCAAAAAUCAAAAUAAGAUUUUUAGUCAGAUCCAAACAAUGAUAAGAGACCUCAGAAGGAAGGCAGUAGUAGGGUAUGUCCUCACAAGAUUUCAGAGAGAAAGGUUUCCACAUUGAUCAUCAUAGGCCUCAAAAGUAAACGAAAAGGAUAAAGAUGACGAAAAAUACAACACAAUGACAUGCAUCAAUAAAUCUGACCUCAUAGAGAAGAUUAGGCUUUUCCACAUGAAAAUUCAGACAUAUGCUUGUCUAUAUUUUAAUCUAAUCAUCGGCCAAUAUAACUGCACAAUGAAUCCAAAAGAAGAGCCAAACGAAAGAAAAUCACCAAAGAAGAUCUGAUCUCAUGAGGAAUCGAAAAUUGAUUUGGUUACAGAGGACUCGGAAUAUGGGUGGUGAUAUAUCAGGAUGGUCGGCAAGGCAAAAACAAUUUGCCAGUUACGACGAACGAGACCAAUAGAUACGAUCUUCACCGUCCUCGACACCAAAAACACAAAUCAAAUCCCCCACUCGAACAACGAAAAAGUAAAUUAACCAUUGCAAAAUACCUGGCAAAGGAAAAACCAAACGGAAAGAACAAGAUCUGAAAUCGCAGAUCAACCCGAGACGAGCGAACAAGAAGAGGAAGCAGAUGCAACCAUGCGAAAGAAGAUAGAUAGCGGCGUGGAGGAUGAAGAU
RNAcentral lists this small RNA (1409 nucleotides) under Oryza sativa Japonica Group (Japanese rice). Its description in RNAcentral is "sRNA Os05g0528701". Lineage: Eukaryota; Viridiplantae; Streptophyta; Magnoliopsida; Poales; Poaceae. The record is from RNAcentral.